AUUGAACGCUGGCGGCAUGCUUUACACAUGCAAGUCGAACGGUAACAGGCCGCAAGGUGCUGACGAGUGGCGAACGGGUGAGUAAUGCAUCGGAACGUGCCCAGUCGUGGGGGGUAACUACUCGAAAGAGUAGCUAAUACCGCAUACGAUCUAUGGAUGAAAGCGGGGGACCGUAAGGCCUCGCGCGAUUGGAGCGGCCGAUGUCAGAUUAGGUAGUUGGUGGGGUAAAGGCUCACCAAGCCAACGAUCUGUAGCUGGUCUGAGAGGACGACCAGCCACACUGGGACUGAGACACGGCCCAGACUCCUACGGGAGGCAGCAGUGGGGAAUUUUGGACAAUGGGCGCAAGCCUGAUCCAGCAAUGCCGCGUGCAGGAAGAAGGCCUUCGGGUUGUAAACUGCUUUUGUACGGAACGAAACGGCUCUGGUUAAUACCCGGGGCUAAUGACGGCACCGUAAGAAUAAGCACCGGCUAACUACGUG
This 482-nucleotide ribosomal RNA is filed under the name uncultured bacterium. Its description in RNAcentral is "partial 16S ribosomal RNA". It matches the Rfam family "Bacterial small subunit ribosomal RNA", at positions 30 to 507 of the family's 1533-position model. The record is from RNAcentral.